Molecule: ribosomal RNA, 305 nt
Filed under: uncultured bacterium
Lineage: Bacteria
Description: bacterial SSU rRNA
Rfam family: Bacterial small subunit ribosomal RNA
Source: RNAcentral
UUUUUCCUACGGGGGGCAGCAGUGGGGAAUAUUGCACAAUGGGGGAAACCCUGAUGCAGCGACGCCGCGUGAGUGAAGAAGUAUUUCGGUACGUAAAGCUCUAUCAGCAGGGAAGAAAAUGACGGUACCUGACUAAGAAGCCCCGGCUAACUACAUGCCAGCAGCCGCGGUAAUACGUAGGGGGCAAGCGUUAUCCGGAUUUACUGGGUGUAAAGGGAGCGUAGACGGCAGCGCAAGUCUGGAAUGAAAUCCCAUGGCUUAACCAUGGAACUGCUUUGGAAACUGUGCAGCUAGAGUGCAGGAGG